Molecule: ribosomal RNA, 496 nt
Filed under: uncultured bacterium
Lineage: Bacteria
Description: partial 16S ribosomal RNA
Rfam family: Bacterial small subunit ribosomal RNA
Source: RNAcentral
AUGCACGCUGGCGGCGUGCCUAAUACCUGCAAGUCGCGCGCACGGACGAGAAGCUUGCUUCUCUGAUGUUAGCGGCGGACGGGUGAGUAACACGUGGAUAACCUACCUAUAAGACUGGGAUAACUUCGGGAAACCGGAGCUAAUACCGGAUAAUAUUUUGAACCGCAUGGUUCCAAAGUGAAAGACGGUCUUGCUGUCACUUAUAGAUGGAUCCGCGCUGCAUUAGCUAGUUGGUAAGGUAACGGCUUACCAAGGCAACGAUGCAUAGCCGACCUGAGAGGGUGAUCGGCCACACUGGAACUGAGACACGGUCCAGACUCCUACGGGAGGCAGCAGUAGGGAAUCUUCCGCAAUGGGCGAAAGCCUGACGGAGCAACGCCGCGUGAGUGAUGAAGGUCUUCGGAUCGUAAAACUCUGUUAUUAGGGAAGAACAUAUGUGUAAGUAACUGUGCACAUCUUGACGGUACCUAAUCAGAAAGCCACGGCUAACUACGUG